RNAcentral lists this ribosomal RNA (963 nucleotides) under Mycobacterium tuberculosis. RNAcentral's name for it is "bacterial SSU rRNA". It matches the Rfam family "Bacterial small subunit ribosomal RNA", at positions 8 to 970 of the family's 1533-position model. Lineage: Bacteria; Bacillati; Actinomycetota; Actinomycetes; Mycobacteriales; Mycobacteriaceae. The record is from RNAcentral.
AGAGUUUGAUCCUGGCUCAGGACGAACGCUGGCGGCGUGCUUAACACAUGCAAGUCGAACGGAAAGGUCUCUUCGGAGAUACUCGAGUGGCGAACGGGUGAGUAACACGUGGGUGAUCUGCCCUGCACUUCGGGAUAAGCCUGGGAAACUGGGUCUAAUACCGGAUAGGACCACGGGAUGCAUGUCUUGUGGUGGAAAGCGCUUUAGCGGUGUGGGAUGAGCCCGCGGCCUAUCAGCUUGUUGGUGGGGUGACGGCCUACCAAGGCGACGACGGGUAGCCGGCCUGAGAGGGUGUCCGGCCACACUGGGACUGAGAUACGGCCCAGACUCCUACGGGAGGCAGCAGUGGGGAAUAUUGCACAAUGGGCGCAAGCCUGAUGCAGCGACGCCGCGUGGGGGAUGACGGCCUUCGGGUUGUAAACCUCUUUCACCAUCGACGAAGGUCCGGGUUCUCUCGGAUUGACGGUAGGUGGAGAAGAAGCACCGGCCAACUACGUGCCAGCAGCCGCGGUAAUACGUAGGGUGCGAGCGUUGUCCGGAAUUACUGGGCGUAAAGAGCUCGUAGGUGGUUUGUCGCGUUGUUCGUGAAAUCUCACGGCUUAACUGUGAGCGUGCGGGCGAUACGGGCAGACUAGAGUACUGCAGGGGAGACUGGAAUUCCUGGUGUAGCGGUGGAAUGCGCAGAUAUCAGGAGGAACACCGGUGGCGAAGGCGGGUCUCUGGGCAGUAACUGACGCUGAGGAGCGAAAGCGUGGGGAGCGAACAGGAUUAGAUACCCUGGUAGUCCACGCCGUAAACGGUGGGUACUAGGUGUGGGUUUCCUUCCUUGGGAUCCGUGCCGUAGCUAACGCAUUAAGUACCCCGCCUGGGGAGUACGGCCGCAAGGCUAAAACUCAAAGGAAUUGACGGGGGCCCGCACAAGCGGCGGAGCAUGUGGAUUAAUUCGAUGCAACGCGAAGAACC